UACGUAGGGUGCAAGCGUUGUCCGGAAUUAUUGGGCGUAAAGAGCUCGUAGGCGGUCUGUCACGUCGGCUGUGAAAUCCCGAGGCUCAACCUCGGGUCUGCAGUCGAUACGGGCAAACUAGAGUAUUGCAGGGGAGACUGGAAUUCCUGGUGUAGCGGUGAAAUGCGCAGAUAUCAGGAGGAACACCGGUGGCGAAGGCGGUGGGCUGGGCCGGCACUGACGCUGAGGAGCGAAAGCGUGGGGAGCGAACAGG
This 253-nucleotide ribosomal RNA is filed under the name uncultured bacterium. RNAcentral describes it as "partial 16S ribosomal RNA". It matches the Rfam family "Bacterial small subunit ribosomal RNA", at positions 524 to 776 of the family's 1533-position model. The record is from RNAcentral.